RNAcentral lists this ribosomal RNA (495 nucleotides) under [Clostridium] innocuum. RNAcentral describes it as "bacterial SSU rRNA". It matches the Rfam family "Bacterial small subunit ribosomal RNA", at positions 10 to 483 of the family's 1533-position model. Lineage: Bacteria; Bacillati; Bacillota; Clostridia; Eubacteriales; Clostridiaceae. The record is from RNAcentral.
AGUUUGAUCCUGGCUCAGGAUGAACGCUGGCGGCAUGCCUAAUACAUGCAAGUCGAACGAAGUUUCGAGGAAGCUUGCUUCCAAAGAGACUUAGUGGCGAACGGGUGAGUAACACGUAGGUAACCUGCCCAUGUGUCCGGGAUAACUGCUGGAAACGGUAGCUAAAACCGGAUAGGUAUACAGAGCGCAUGCUCAGUAUAUUAAAGCGCCCAUCAAGGCGUGAACAUGGAUGGACCUGCGGCGCAUUAGCUAGUUGGUGAGGUAACGGCCCACCAAGGCGAUGAUGCGUAGCCGGCCUGAGAGGGUAAACGGCCACAUUGGGACUGAGACACGGCCCAAACUCCUACGGGAGGCAGCAGUAGGGAAUUUUCGUCAAUGGGGGAAACCCUGAACGAGCAAUGCCGCGUGAGUGAAGAAGGUCUUCGGAUCGUAAAGCUCUGUUGUAAGUGAAGAACGGCUCAUAGAGGAAAUGCUAUGGGAGUGACGGUAGCUUAC